RNAcentral lists this long non-coding RNA (352 nucleotides) under Salvia miltiorrhiza (redroot sage). RNAcentral describes it as "long non-coding RNA (SMIL_LNC000127)". The record is from RNAcentral. Lineage: Eukaryota; Viridiplantae; Streptophyta; Magnoliopsida; Lamiales; Lamiaceae.
UUUAUCGUAUUGUUUUCCUAGUUAGGCUAGACUUGGGAUUUUAUUUCCUUUUUACACAAGACUCGGACGGCAAUUUUUGGGCAUUGGAAUCAAACUUACUUUUCAUUAUUUUCUCUCAUUUUUACUUGUCAUCAUGUUUGCUUUCUCGUUUUUUUUUUUUUUUUAAUAAUUAAUUAUGUUUUCUAGCUAUUUUCCUUUUAUUUUGGUAUUAAUUAGGAAAGACCUAGCACAAUUAUUACGUGAAAUUUAAUUUAUUCUUAAUACUUAAAUUUAUGCAAAUAUUUGUAAUUAUUUAUGUUAAUGUUAUUAUUUGUUUCAAAUUGCUAGGUAGUACGCAAUAUUUAGUGGUUUG